RNAcentral lists this non-coding RNA (23 nucleotides) under Arabidopsis thaliana (thale cress). The record is from RNAcentral. Lineage: Eukaryota; Viridiplantae; Streptophyta; Magnoliopsida; Brassicales; Brassicaceae.
AGUGAACAUUCUCCAGAGGUUGC